Molecule: ribosomal RNA, 468 nt
Filed under: uncultured bacterium
Lineage: Bacteria
Description: partial 16S ribosomal RNA
Rfam family: Bacterial small subunit ribosomal RNA
Source: RNAcentral
GACGAACGCUGGCGGCGUGCUUAACACAUGCAAGUCGAACGGAAAGGCCCUGCUUUUGUGGGGUGCUCGACUGGCGAACGGGUGAGUAACACGUGCGUCACCUGCCCUUGACUUUGGGCUAACUUCAGUAAACUAGGGCUACUACCGGAUAGGAGAUCCCGUCGCAUGGUGGGGGUUGGAAAGUUUCGGCGGUUGGGGAUUGACUCGUGGUAGCUCGUCUUGUUGGUGGGGUAGUGGCUUACCAAGGCUAUGACGGGUAGCUGGCCCGAGAGGGUGACCGGCCACAUGGGGACUGAGAUACGGCCCAGACUCGUACGGGAGGCAGCAGUGGGGAAGAUUGCACAAUGGGCCGAAGCCGGAUGCAGCAACGCCGCGUGCGGGAUGACGGCCUUCGGGUUGUAAACCGCUUUCGCCUGUGACGAAGCGUGAGUGACGGUAAUGGAUAAAGAAGCACCGGCUAACUACGUG